This 624-nucleotide ribosomal RNA is filed under the name Nocardioides sp. Its description in RNAcentral is "bacterial SSU rRNA". It matches the Rfam family "Bacterial small subunit ribosomal RNA", at positions 125 to 749 of the family's 1533-position model. Lineage: Bacteria; Bacillati; Actinomycetota; Actinomycetes; Propionibacteriales; Nocardioidaceae. The record is from RNAcentral.
UCUGCCCUGCACUCUGGGAUAGCCACCGGAAACGGUGAUUAAUACCGGAUAUGACAAUCUUGCGCAUGUGGGGUUGUGGAAAGUUUUUUCGGUGCGGGAUGUGCUCGCGGCCUAUCAGCUUGUUGGUGGGGUAAUGGCCUACCAAGGCUUCGACGGGUAGCCGGCCUGAGAGGGUGACCGGCCACACUGGGACUGAGACACGGCCCAGACUCCUACGGGAGGCAGCAGUGGGGAAUAUUGGACAAUGGGCGAAAGCCUGAUCCAGCAACGCCGCGUGAGGGAUGACGGCCUUCGGGUUGUAAACCUCUUUCAGCACAGACGAAGUUCUAUCUUUUUGGGUGGAGUGACGGUAUGUGCAGAAGAAGGACCGGCCAACUACGUGCCAGCAGCCGCGGUAAUACGUAGGGUCCGAGCGUUGUCCGGAAUUAUUGGGCGUAAAGGGCUCGUAGGCGGUUUGUUGCGUCGGGAGUGAAAACCCAGGGCUUAACCCUGGGCCUGCUUUCGAUACGGGCAGACUAGAGGCAUUCAGGGGAGAACGGAAUUCCUGGUGUAGCGGUGAAAUGCGCAGAUAUCAGGAGGAACACCGGUGGCGAAGGCGGUUCUCUGGGAAUGUUCUGACGCUGA